Molecule: long non-coding RNA, 1309 nt
Organism: Talpa occidentalis (Iberian mole)
Lineage: Eukaryota; Metazoa; Chordata; Mammalia; Eulipotyphla; Talpidae
Exons: 3
Source: RefSeq, a predicted model, not a curated record
AAAAGCUGAGCACCAGACUCUGGACUUGGCGAUCAGCGUUGAGACGCUCCAACGAAGGUUAAGCUCCCAGCAAAAGGUCUGCCGUACCAAGAGGCUGAAUAAGCUGAUAUUAUAUGCUGUGGCGAUGGAGAGAAUGCACCGGUAUCCGGCUACUGGUACACUAAACUGGGGUUACUGAGGCAUAUCCACUUACUGGUGCAGCCCUGGCCUCUGGACCAUGAGAACCGCAGGCAGCUUUCUCUAGUGAUAAAGGGACCUCUCCUCCAAGUGCCCCUCCCUGCGGAUAAUCAGAAGUAUCUCCAGACUCUUCAAAGCAGAACAUGAGAAUAGGACCCCUUCAACUGCAAUGGCUUACAAGAAACUAUUGAUGCACUUUUCUAAUACUUACUAUAGAGAUGAAUUUUUCCUUCAUCUACUUUACUACUUUGUCCCUCUCAGUUUGCUCAUUUAUAAAAUGAUUAUGAAGGAUACUAAUAGCACCCACCACCUACGCUUGUUUUCAGAAACAGUUUGCACCUGAUAAAAGGAAACUCAGUCUAUACAUGCUUAUUAUUGUACUAACUGGUCACUGUCCUGCACCUUUAGGACUAUUCCUAUGUCAGAGUAACUUCAACUCAUUUUUAAGGGAGUCCAUAUCCAGAAGUCAUAGCUAAUAGUAAACAACAUACCACACUAGCUCCAGUGCUAGUCUGUCCACUGCCCAGCCAUGGCAGAGAGGAAGGUGGGUGCACCUGACUCGUCGAAUAGGAUGUUGCACCGGGUUGAUAAAGAGUUGUAGUAGAACCACGAUAAUCUAUAUCAUCUGAACUGUAAAAGACGGUUUGUGUGUGUUAAGAGCAAAUGGAACUUUCCCAGUAACACAUUCCAAUUACAGAGCUUCUUAGGUAUCCACAAAGCAGUACUUUUAAAAUGAACAAAUAGCCGUGAGAAGUCAAUAGAUUACUACUGGUUAGAGUUUUCCCUCAACACUUAUACAGUUAAGUGUUGUUCGGGGAUAACUUUACUGCUGCACAAAUUAGAAUGCUUGUUCUUUUUAUGAUGGACUAUAUCAUAUUACAUUGUUAUAGCUACUCUAAAGUGUGAUAUUGAAACGUAGCUAUAUAGCAGCAAAACAGAACAUUUAACAGAAUAAGGAGAGAGGCUACCAUGACAUCAUCUCCAAGUACAUAAAAUUUCCUUAUCUGGAAAAAAGAAGGGAUUAUAUGGAGAAGCCCCCAAACAAGACAGUAUUGCAAAACUCUUAUUGCAGUAUCCAAGCUUUACUAUAAAGUUGUCUACAUUUUUAUCUGUAAAAAGGGUAUGUUUAUAA